AGGGGCUUAGUUUAGUGGUAAAAUGCUUCUCUCCAAAAGAAGCGACGGGGGUUCGAUUCCCUCAGCCCCUG
RNAcentral lists this transfer RNA (71 nucleotides) under Bdellovibrionales bacterium RIFOXYC2_FULL_39_8. Its description in RNAcentral is "tRNA-Trp". It matches the Rfam family "tRNA". Rfam says of the family: Transfer RNA (tRNA) molecules are approximately 80 nucleotides in length. The record is from RNAcentral. Lineage: Bacteria; Pseudomonadati; Bdellovibrionota; Bdellovibrionia; Bdellovibrionales.